This 483-nucleotide ribosomal RNA is filed under the name uncultured bacterium. RNAcentral's name for it is "bacterial SSU rRNA". It matches the Rfam family "Bacterial small subunit ribosomal RNA", at positions 29 to 507 of the family's 1533-position model. The record is from RNAcentral.
AUGAACGCUAGCGGCAGGCCUAACACAUGCAAGUCGAGGGGCAGCACAGGUAGCAAUACUGGGUGGCGACCGGCGGAUGGGUGCGUAACGCGUAUGCAACCUACCAUUGAUUGGGGCAUAGCCCGAAGAAAUUCGGAUUAAUGCCCCAUAGCGUAUUGAGUUGGCAUCAGCACAAUACUAAAGUCACAACGGUUCAAGAUGGGCAUGCGUCCCAUUAGUUAGUUGGUAAGGUAACGGCUUACCAAGACGAUGAUGGGUAGGGGUCCUGAGAGGGAGAUCCCCCACACUGGUACUGAGACACGGACCAGACUCCUACGGGAGGCAGCAGUGAGGAAUAUUGGUCAAUGGGCGCAAGCCUGAACCAGCCAUGCCGCGUGCAGGAUGAAGCAUCUAUGGUGUGUAAACUGCUUUUGUACGGGAAGAAACAGCUCUUCGUGAAGAGCCUUGACGGUACCGUAAGAAUAAGGAUCGGCUAACUCCGUG